RNAcentral lists this transfer RNA (74 nucleotides) under Heliconius melpomene (postman butterfly). Its description in RNAcentral is "tRNA HMEL009726". It matches the Rfam family "tRNA". Rfam says of the family: Transfer RNA (tRNA) molecules are approximately 80 nucleotides in length. Lineage: Eukaryota; Metazoa; Arthropoda; Insecta; Lepidoptera; Nymphalidae. The record is from RNAcentral.
GAACGUAUUGCUUAGUUGAUCAGAGCGUUGGGACGGUUUCCAAAGAGGCGCAGGUUCAAAUCCCGCGAUGUUCA